UGCAACUCAGAUCUAGACACCAUAGUUCUUCCUCUAGAUCGUAUUUCGGCGGAGCUCGAGCGGAGCCUUGCAGGAGUAGAUCGUCACCACCACCGGAGCGUCGUCGUUACUUGCUGGAUCCAGAAGGCCGAGAUCAUCGUCGAGCUAUACGUGUGCUAAAUGCGGAGGUGUUGUCUGUUCGGCACUAGAUCGGAACGGAUCAUGGGACGGAUCGCGGGACGGUUCGUGGGGCGGUUUGUGGGACGUGAAGACGUUCCACUACACCAACCACGCUUCUUAACUCUUC
This 286-nucleotide long non-coding RNA is filed under the name Hordeum vulgare. RNAcentral describes it as "long non-coding RNA (HVUL_LNC018379)". The record is from RNAcentral. Lineage: Eukaryota; Viridiplantae; Streptophyta; Magnoliopsida; Poales; Poaceae.